AAUUCUAGCAACAGGCAGAGAGAAGUGAGUGGGCAGCCACGUGGUGGAAGAGCAGAGAGCAGAACCAGGUCCUGCACAGGGAGAAACAGAGCUAAAGGGGCUUUGCCUGGGGGGCUCACUGUCCCCCCACCCCCUACCAGUGGUUCACAGUCCUUGCCUUAUCCGAGACUCUCCACCCACUGCAGCAGGUGGACCCUGCCCUGGGACCGGCAGCACCCCGGCACUAUUCCACCCGUUUGGGGACACUU
Molecule: non-coding RNA, 248 nt
Filed under: Heterocephalus glaber (naked mole-rat)
Lineage: Eukaryota; Metazoa; Chordata; Mammalia; Rodentia; Bathyergidae
Source: RNAcentral